This 253-nucleotide ribosomal RNA is filed under the name uncultured bacterium. Its description in RNAcentral is "partial 16S ribosomal RNA". It matches the Rfam family "Bacterial small subunit ribosomal RNA", at positions 524 to 776 of the family's 1533-position model. The record is from RNAcentral.
UACAGAGGAGCCAAGCGUUGUCCGGAUUGACUGGGCGUAAAGCGCACGCAGGCGGUCGGGCGCGUGGGGUGUGAAAUCUGGCCGCUUAACGGCCAGGCGCCAUCCCAUACGGCACGACUGGAGGGCUGCAGAGGUCGAUGGAAUUGCCGGUGUAGUGGUGAAAUGCGUAGAGAUCGGCAGGAACACCCAGGGGGAAACCAGUCGACUGGGCAGCACCUGACGCUGAGGUGCGAGAGCGUGGGGAGCGAACCGG